GGCAGCAGUAGGGAAUUUUCUGCAAUGGGCGAAAGUGUGAAGGAGCAACGCCGCGUGAGCGAAGAAGGCCUUCGGGUCGUAAAGCUUUGUUGUCAGGGAAGAACAAGUACGGGAGUAACUGCCGGUACCUUGACGGUACCUGACCAGAAAGCCACGGCUAAAUACGUGCCAGCAGCCGCGGUAAUACGUAGGGGGCAAGCGUUUUCCGGAAUUAUUGGGCGUAAAGCGCGCGCGGGCGGUCCUUUAAGUGUGAUGUGAAAGCCCACGGCUCAACCGUGGAGGGUCAUUGGAAACUGGGGGACUUGAGUGCAGAAGAGGGGAGCGGAAUUCCACGUGUAGCGGUGAAAAGUGUAGAGAUGUGGAGGAACACCAGUGGGGAAGGGGGCUCUCUGGUCUGUAACUGACGCGGAGGCGCGAAAGCGUGGGGAGCGAACACGAUUAGAUACCCCGGUAGUCCACGCCCUAAACGAUGAGUGCUAAGUGUU
Molecule: ribosomal RNA, 485 nt
Filed under: uncultured Bacillus sp.
Lineage: Bacteria; Bacillati; Bacillota; Bacilli; Caryophanales; Bacillaceae
Description: bacterial SSU rRNA
Rfam family: Bacterial small subunit ribosomal RNA
Source: RNAcentral